Nematostella vectensis (starlet sea anemone) is the source of this 1029-nucleotide long non-coding RNA. RefSeq lists it as uncharacterized. The record is from RefSeq and is a predicted model, not a curated record. The transcript has 2 exons. Lineage: Eukaryota; Metazoa; Cnidaria; Anthozoa; Actiniaria; Edwardsiidae.
AAUCAUUUAUCAUACUCUGAGCAUUAACUACUUAUUUUACAGUAAAUUAAGUAAAGCAUAUGAUACUUAUGAGUUAUUAGCGAUUAAUUAUAAAUUUUUGUGAUUACUCUAGCUUGUUACACUAAAAGUUAUAGAACGCACGUUAAACGACAGUGGAUAAAAUAUUUUGAUUAUUACAAAGUGCAGAUGGACAGGAUAGUUCUGUGAGAAAUUAGGAGACUGAAUAGUCCUAUUCACAGUCCCCGCCGCCAUCUUGGGUACAAACAUGAAAACGAGGCGAGAGUUGACUCAUAAUCAAAAUAAAAGAAGAUGUUUAUCUGACCUCUGAUUAUCUACGCAGAAAACGGCUCCCAAAACAACCGUCAAGUCGAUAAAUCGUGGUUUAUUUGAAACCACACUUCUCGCUAAAUAUAUUAAGAUAAGGAUACUCAGGCUCCAAAACAAGCAAUUCAAAACAAGACAAAAUAAGUGAAAAAAAAAACAUUUUUACCCCUUUUUCUUGUGUGGCCUGGCUAUAGAGUAAAUAAAUAAUGAAUAACACCUUAUUUUUUUUUACAGCUGGUAUCACCUUUGCUACAGACCAAAUGCAAGUGGGCUUUUUUGUGGGUACCAGGGGGUGAAGCUUGCGAGGCACAUCAAAAGGCAACAUUCCAAGGAAUCUGAAGUGGCCUGCCAGCUUGCAGGAACGAGUAAAAAGAACAAAGUAAAAGAACACGAAAGGCUCCGGCUCCUCGGUGAUUAUCACCACAAUUGCAAUGUCCUGAGCUUAGGCGAAGAACAACUGAUUGUGGUAUGCCUACCUCCCUUGUAAGUCGUGCCUUGGGUUUCACAAGAGGGACGACCUUUGGAGGCACAGAAAGAAGUGUGCGUUUAAACAGCAUGGGACAGACAAAAAAGUUGGUAUCACCUUUGCCACAGACCAAAUGCAAGUGGGCUUUUUUGUGGGUACCAGGGGGUGAAGCUUGCGAGGCACAUCAAAAGGCAACAUUCCAAGGAAUCUGAAGUGGCCUGCCAGCUUGCAGGAACGAG